RNAcentral lists this non-coding RNA (82 nucleotides) under Anaeroplasma bactoclasticum. The record is from RNAcentral. Lineage: Bacteria; Bacillati; Mycoplasmatota; Mollicutes; Anaeroplasmatales; Anaeroplasmataceae.
CGUAUUAUAUACGUGCGAUAAAAAGCGAAUAGUUAGGGAGUCAGCUGAGGUCGUAGUAGGUGGAUGCCAACCACUAAAGGAC